ACAUAUUCUAAUCGUCUUCGUUUCAUUCAGGGCUAUCGAUAUCAGAAGAAGGUCCUUCAAAAGGUAAAACCAAAACACAAACAAUCUCCAACACGUUAACUACAUUUGCAUAUUGCUCUGAAAACUUUCUUAACGUAGUCUGUUUCCAUUUCGUUGUCGAGUUCUGAUGCGAGAGGAAAUGAAGGUGCAAAAUGGGGGCGUAAAGACCGAGUAGAUUGAGUGAUGCUGAAGCUCUUCAACGUAGAACAAUGGAUAGGGGAUCAUUCUCUUUGGUGAAACCUACUGACUAGAAGUUAAUCAACCCGAAUCAUAGCUUUGGUUUUUGUGGGGGGUAGAAAAGGUUGUUAUUAGCUAAUGGUGUGUGCUAAGUAUUACUCUAAGUGUAGGGAGAGAUUUUUGUUCAGUUUGUAUCUCAGUUCUUCAGAUGGAUUUUCGGAUCAGUGUGUUCUGUUUGCAAUCCAAGAUUCCCAGUUUGUCUAGUGUGUUAAUAUAUUUUUGUGUGCAGAAGAAGCCAAUUGCUCAUGUCGUAGUGUUUAUUGUGGUAAGGUCAAUAAGGUCUGAAUAAUAAAGAUAAAACAAGGGUCAACCAGCCCGUCUAGCUCA
RNAcentral lists this long non-coding RNA (603 nucleotides) under Linum usitatissimum (flax). RNAcentral's name for it is "long non-coding RNA (LUSI_LNC005512)". The record is from RNAcentral. Lineage: Eukaryota; Viridiplantae; Streptophyta; Magnoliopsida; Malpighiales; Linaceae.